UACAGAGGUCCCAAGCGUUGUUCGGAUUCAUUGGGCGUAAAGGGCUCGUAGGCGGCCAGCGCAAUUCAGUUGUGAAAUCUCCGGGCUUAACUCGGAAAGGUCAACUGAUACUGCGCGGCUAGAGUGCAGAAGGGGCAACUGGAAUUCUCGGUGUAGCGGUGAAAUGCGUAGAUAUCGAGAGGAACACCUGCGGCGAAGGCGGGUUGCUGGGCUGACACUGACGCUGAUGCGCGAAAGCCAGGGGAGCGAACGGG
Molecule: ribosomal RNA, 254 nt
Filed under: uncultured bacterium
Lineage: Bacteria
Description: partial 16S ribosomal RNA
Rfam family: Bacterial small subunit ribosomal RNA
Source: RNAcentral